This 2617-nucleotide ribosomal RNA is filed under the name Plenodomus biglobosus/Leptosphaeria biglobosa 'brassicae' group. RNAcentral describes it as "eukaryotic LSU rRNA". The stretch from base 307 to 2617 matches the Rfam family "Eukaryotic large subunit ribosomal RNA", at positions 1 to 2346 of the family's 3401-position model. The record is from RNAcentral. Lineage: Eukaryota; Fungi; Ascomycota; Dothideomycetes; Pleosporales; Leptosphaeriaceae.
ACUUUUAAUAAUAGAUCUCUUAGUUCUAGUAUUAAUAAAGAACGCAGCAAAAUGCGAUAAGUAGUGUAAAUUGCAGAAUUUAGUAAAUUAUUAAAUCUUUAAACGCAUAUUGCGCCCCUUAGUAUUCUAUAGGGCAUGCCUGUUUAAGCGUUAUUUGUACCCUUAAGCUCUGCUUAGUGUUAGGUGUUUGUUCUACUUAGGACUUGCCUUAAAAUAAUUGGCAGCUAGUAUAUUAGCCUAGAGCGCAGCACAUUUUACGCCUCUUGUUAUAGUUAUUAGUAUCUAUUAAGACACUUUUUAAGCUCUUAACCUUAGAUUAGGUAGGGAUACCUGCUAAACUUAAGUAUAUUAAUAAGUAGAGGAAAAGAAACUAAUAGGGAUUGCCCUAGUAACAGCGAGUAAAGCGGCAAUAGCUUAAAUUUAAAAUCUAGCUCUUUUAGGGUCCAAGUUAUAAUUUGCACAGGGCGCUUUAGCGUUAGUAGUAGUCUAAGUUCCUUAGAACAGGACGUUAUAGAGGGUAAGAAUCCUAUACGUAGUUACUAGCCUUUGCCAUGUAAAGCCCCUUUAACAAGUUAAGUUAUUUAGGAAUAUAGCUCUAAAUAGGAGGUAAAUUUCUUCUAAAGCUAAAUACUAGCUAGAGACUAAUAGCGCAUAAGUAGAGUAAUUAAAAGAUAAAAAGCACUUUAGAAAGAGAGUUAAAUAGCACGUGAAAUUGUUAAAAGGGAAGCGCUUAUAGCUAGACUUGCCUAUAGUUGCUUAUCUAGGCUUUUAUCUAGUGUACUCUUCUAUAGGUAGGCUAGCAUUAGUUUAGGUGGUUAGAUAAAGGUCUCUAUUACGUACCUCCCUUUAGGGAGGCCUUAUAGGGGAGACAAUAUGUAACUAGCCUAGACUAAGGUCCGCGUAUCUACUAGGAUGCUAGCGUAAUAGCUAUAAGCGGCCUGUCUUAAAAUAUAGACUAAGGAGUCUAAUAUCUAUACAAGUGUUUAGGUGUUAAGCCUAGACACUUAAUAAAAGUAAAUAGAGGUAGGACCCCUUUUAGGGUGCACUAUUAACUAAUCCUAAUAUCUUUAGAAGGAUUUAAGUAAGAGUAUAGCUAUUAGGACCUAAAAGAUAGUAAACUAUGCUUAAAUAGGGUAAAGCUAGAGGAAACUCUAGUAGAGGCUCGCAGCAGUUCUAACGUGCAAAUCAAUUAUUAAAUUUAGGUAUAGGGGCGAAAGACUAAUUAAACUAUCUAGUAGCUAGUUCCUACUAAAGUUUCCCUUAGGAUAGCAGUAAUAUAUUUAGUUUUAUAAGGUAAAGCAAAUAAUUAGAGGCCUAGGGGUUAAAAUAACCUUUACCUAUUCUUAAACUUUAAAUAUGUAAGAAGUCCUUAUUACUUAAUUAAACAUGGACACUUAAAUAUACUAUUACUAGUAGGCUAUUUUUAGUAAGUAGAACUAGCAAUACGGGAUAAACUAAACGCAGGGUUAAGGUGCUAGAAUACACGCUUAUUAGACACUACAAAAGGUGUUAGUUUAUCUAGACAGUAGGAUAGUAGCUAUAGAAGUUAGAAUCUACUAAGGAGUGUGUAACAACUUACCUGCUAAAUAAACUAGCCCUAAAAAUAGAUAGCGCUUAAGCGUGUUACCUAUACCCUACCGCCAGGGCAAGAUUUAAGCCCUAGCAAGUAGGCAAGCGUAGAGGCUUGUAACAAAGCCUUAGGGGUAACCCUAGGUAGAAUAGCCUCUAGUGUAGAUCUUAGUAGUAGUAGCAAAUACUUAAAUAAGAACUUUAAGGACUAAAGUAGGGAAAGGUUCUAUGUAAAUAGUAGUUAGAUAUAGGUUAGUUAAUCCUAAGAGAUAGGGUAAUUCUAUUUUAAUGUUAGCGCUUAUACCACGCCCUUAAAAGGGAAGCUAGUUAAUAUUCUAGCACCUAGAUAUAGAUUCUCCGCGGCAACGCAACUAAGAGCAGAGACCUUAGCAGGAGCCCUAAGAAGAGUUCUCUUUUCUUCUUAACAGUCUGUUACCCUAAAAUUAGUUUAUCUAGAGCUAGGGUUUAAUAGCUAGAAGAGCGCUACACUUUUACAGCGUUUAGUGCGCUCCUAACAAGCCUUAAAAAUCUACUUAAAGAAAUAGUUUUUACGCUAGGUUAUACUUAUAACUAUAGCAGGUCUCUAAGGUAAAAAGCCUCUAGUUAAUAGAAUAAUAUAAAUAAGGGAAGUUAGCAAAAUAGAUCUAUAACUUUAGGAAAAGGAUUAGCUCUAAGGGUUAGGUACGUUAGGCCUUAGGGAGAAGCCUCUAGCGCAGAAGGGCACUAACUGCAAGGUAGGCGCCUCUUAGCGCUAGGGUGCAGACACCCUUAGCAGGUUUUAGCCGUCUAGCGUACGUUUAAUAACUAACUUAGAACUAGUAUAGAUAAGGGGAAUCUAACUAUCUAAUUAAAAUAUAGUAUUAUAAUAGGUAGAAAGUAGUAUUAACGUAAUAUAAUUUCUGCCUAGUGCUCUAAAUAUUAAAGCAAAGAGAUUUAACCAAGCGCGGGUAAAUAGUAGGAGUAACUAUAACUCUCUUAAGGUAGCUAAAUACCUUAUUAUCUAAUUAGUAACGCGUAUAAAUAGAUUAACAAGAUUCCUACUAUCCCU